RNAcentral lists this ribosomal RNA (253 nucleotides) under uncultured bacterium. Its description in RNAcentral is "partial 16S ribosomal RNA". It matches the Rfam family "Bacterial small subunit ribosomal RNA", at positions 524 to 776 of the family's 1533-position model. The record is from RNAcentral.
UACGUAGGGUGCAAGCGUUGUCCGGAAUUAUUGGGCGUAAAGAGCUCGUAGGCGGUCUGUCGCGUCGGCUGUGAAAACCCGGGGCUCAACUCCGGGCCUGCAGCCGAUACGGGCAGACUAGAGUUCGGCAGGGGAGACUGGAAUUCCUGGUGUAGCGGUGAAAUGCGCAGAUAUCAGGAGGAACACCGGUGGCGAAGGCGGGUCUCUGGGCCGAUACUGACGCUGAGGAGCGAAAGCGUGGGGAGCAAACAGG